Molecule: ribosomal RNA, 434 nt
Filed under: uncultured Lachnospiraceae bacterium
Lineage: Bacteria; Bacillati; Bacillota; Clostridia; Lachnospirales; Lachnospiraceae
Description: bacterial SSU rRNA
Rfam family: Bacterial small subunit ribosomal RNA
Source: RNAcentral
ACGGGAGGCAGCAGUGGGGAAUAUUGCACAAUGGGGGAAACCCUGAUGCAGCGACGCCGCGUGGAGGAAGAAGUAUUUCGGUACGUAAACUCCUAUCAGCAGGGAAGAAAAUGACGGUACCUGACUAAGAAGCCCCGGCUAACUACGUGCCAGCAGCCGCGGUAAUACGUAGGGGGCAAGCGUUAUCCGGAUUCACUGGGUGUAAAGGGAGCGUAGACGGCAUGGCAAGCCCGAUGUGAAAACCCGCAGCUCAACUGCGGGCCUGCAUUGGGAACUGUCAAGCUAGAGUUCUGGAUGGGCAGGCGGAAUUCCUGGUGUAGCGGUGAAAUGCGUAGAUAUCAGGAGGAACACCGGUGGCGAAGGCGGCCUGCUGGACGGAUACUGACGUUGAGGCUCGAAAGCGUGGGGAGCAAACAGGAUUAGAUACCCUGGUA